GGUCGAAAGACGGACUUAGUGAUCCGGUGGUUCCGCAUGGAAGGGCCAUCGCUCAACGGAUAAAAGCUACCCCGGGGAUAACAGGCUUAUCUCCCCCAAGAGUUCACAUCGACGGGGAGGUUUGGCACCUCGAUGUCGGCUCAUCGCAUCCUGGGGCUGUAGUCGGUCCCAAGGGUUGGGCUGUUCGCCCAUUAAAGCGGUACGCGAGCUGGGUUCAGAACGUCGUGAGACAGUUCGGUCCCUAUCCGUCGUGGGCGUAGGAAAUUUGAGAGGAGCUGUCCUUAGUACGAGAGGACCGGGAUGGACAUACCUCUGGUGUACCAGUUGUCGUGCCAACGGCAUAGCUGGGUAGCUAUGUGUGGACGGGAUAAGUGCUGAAAGCAUCUAAGCAUGAAGCCCCCCUCAAGAUGAGAUUUCCCAACUUCGGUUAUAAGAUCCCUCAAAGAUGAUGAGGUUAAUAGGUUCGAGGUGGAAGCAUGGUGACAUGUGGAGCUGACGAAUACUAA
RNAcentral lists this ribosomal RNA (506 nucleotides) under Staphylococcus aureus. RNAcentral's name for it is "partial 23S ribosomal RNA". It matches the Rfam family "Bacterial large subunit ribosomal RNA", at positions 2397 to 2904 of the family's 2925-position model. The record is from RNAcentral. Lineage: Bacteria; Bacillati; Bacillota; Bacilli; Caryophanales; Staphylococcaceae.